CGUUCUGUUUUAAAUGGCGUCCAAUGCUGCCAGCACAGUUCACUUCCUGCCUCCCUCCCAAAAUGCAGCAUCCAGUGGAGUCCUCCAGUGGCCUUGUGAGCUUACUGUACCGGGUGACUCCAGCCCCAGUGUUGUACCCAGGUUGAACAUCGGCCCAUCCUAGUAAACAGAUACUUUUGAGGCAUCUCCCAUUUGAAUGAGAUGCUUUCACCUGAGGCCCAUCCUUAGUGUCCUUGCUGAAGAAAAGGAUGCAGACUUGUUUCAUGUUAGAGCUCACAGUCUCAGCCAAGCUUGACUGACCAUCGCAAGAGAGGAUGUGCACACAGAAAAAUGGGCUGCUUUCACUCGGAUUGACAUCAGUUUCUGCUGGAUUGGAGGCAAAGUUUCCUUGCACCUGAGUUUUUGAAGCUUUUGCUAUCUUCUGUUACCAAUAAUGGGAACAUCAGUGCAUGCAAUUUGUAGCCAUGGCAGCUUCCUUCUAAGAGGGAUGUCGCUUGCCUUAUUCCAGACAAAUAAAUAUGGGGGAGCUGGAAAUAACGGUAUUAGAUGCUAGUUUCCGCUCAAUUUGAGCAGUAGUUAGUGUUGAACUGGGACUUGAGAGAUCUCAGCCCUUGCACAGUGUUGAGUUAUUUUUAGUUCUUAGAUAGGCUUUAAGUGUUAAUAUAUUUUGAAUGGUAUGCAUCUGUAUUGUAUUGUAUGUACUUAGGUAUUUUUUUUCUGGCAAAAGGGGUGCGGGGUAAAAAAAAAAAAAAAAGAUCUCAGCCCUGAAGAUUGCUGGGUGACUGGGCAGCCACAGGACUCAACCUAACCUACCUCACAGGGUUGUUGUAAGGAUAAAAUGGAGAAGAGGAUCAUGUAAGUUGGCUUAGGCUUCUUGGAGGAGGAUAUAAUUUUAACAAAUGAGUGCAGAACCAAUUACAGUAGUAGCAUAGGCUGUCAGUGACUUUUGUACCCCUUUCAGUGGGAGCGGGCAAGUGGGGAUUGCACAUCUUCUGGACGGGAAUAAUAAUACUCUGUUCGAUAUUUUAAAUAAAAGGCUACAGUAAGAA
Molecule: long non-coding RNA, 1049 nt
Organism: Varanus komodoensis (Komodo dragon)
Lineage: Eukaryota; Metazoa; Chordata; Lepidosauria; Squamata; Varanidae
Exons: 5
Source: RefSeq, a predicted model, not a curated record